Neocloeon triangulifer is the source of this 516-nucleotide long non-coding RNA. RefSeq lists it as uncharacterized. The record is from RefSeq and is a predicted model, not a curated record. NCBI's taxonomy places the organism in Eukaryota, Metazoa, Arthropoda, Insecta, Ephemeroptera, Baetidae. The transcript has 3 exons.
UGCAGAGGAAGAAUUCUGCGGAUUUGACUUUAUUUGACUAGUUAUAAAAGGUGCCUCAAAUCCAGAACUCCUUCAGCUGCUGUCAUAAAUACUGUGAUCAUCUGUUUGUGUCAAUCCACCCGAUUUUCAUCAAGGAAAUGGCUAAGCUUGUGCUUUUGUUGGCCGCGGUGAUGCUGCUCGCGUUGGUGGCUGCCCAGGACGAUGAUGACCUGGCGGUCGCUGAGCGGGCAGAGCAGGUGAACGAAGCGCUGGAUUCUGAUGAGGCGCUGGUUAGGGAGGUGCGCCGAAUCCCCCGACGCACCAGGAGACCAAUUGCGACACCAACCCCUCGCUGGACAGUUUGGGUCUAAUGGAAUAUUUAUUAAUUAUUUUUGACUGAUUGGCAUAAUUUUUUUAAUAGUAUGAAAAUCGUUUUAAUGUGCCAAACAUUCGUUUAAAAAUACUUGCAAAUUUUGUGAUCUCAAAUUAAUUUUAGUGAAAACAAUAUUUAAAUAAAAAAUUGGAUUUGGUAAAAAA